UAGAAUUUCCACAUCAUGCACAUCAUCUUUUAUAUCAAGUGAAUGAAACAAAAUUCUUCACAUCUGACUAAUCAUUGCAGCAUUGUCUGAGUUACAUUCAUUGUUGCUGGCGCCCCAAGCCAAGUCCAUAUUUUUUAGCCACAAAGUUUGUGUGCACUGGAGCCUGAAACUAUCAACAGCAGAACGGAUUACCGCCAGUCAUUGUUCUCAAUGAGGUGAGAGUGGAGUGUGCCCUGGCAUCUUUGAAGCGGCGACUCAGGCUGCUGACUCUCUCCAUGACGAGCUGCCAGAUCCAGCACCUGCACCAUUUCCUCCACCACACGGUCAUCUUCCUGGGUCAAGUUCCUGGCCUCGCGGGCAAUCCUCGCCAUGGAAACCAUGAACUGCAAGACCUGAGCCCUAGGACCAUGCCUCAGGACUACCUGACA
Molecule: long non-coding RNA, 428 nt
Organism: Oncorhynchus tshawytscha (Chinook salmon)
Lineage: Eukaryota; Metazoa; Chordata; Actinopteri; Salmoniformes; Salmonidae
Exons: 4
Source: RefSeq, a predicted model, not a curated record